UACAGAGGGGGCAAGCGUUGUUCGGAAUUACUGGGCGUAAAGGGCGCGUAGGCGGCCUUCUAAGUCGAACGUGAAAUCCCCGGGCUCAACCCGGGAACUGCGUCCGAUACUGGAUGGCUUGAGUUUGGGAGAGGGAUGCGGAAUUCCAGGUGUAGCGGUGAAAUGCGUAGAUAUCUGGAGGAACACCGGUGGCGAAGGCGGCAUCCUGGACCAACACUGACGCUGAUGAGCGAAAGCCAGGGGAGCAAACGGG
Molecule: ribosomal RNA, 253 nt
Filed under: uncultured bacterium
Lineage: Bacteria
Description: partial 16S ribosomal RNA
Rfam family: Bacterial small subunit ribosomal RNA
Source: RNAcentral